UAAUGGCGGAUCUCCGAGUGGAAACU
This 26-nucleotide non-coding RNA is filed under the name Mus musculus (house mouse). The record is from RNAcentral. Lineage: Eukaryota; Metazoa; Chordata; Mammalia; Rodentia; Muridae.